This 195-nucleotide ribosomal RNA is filed under the name uncultured Glomus. Its description in RNAcentral is "partial 18S ribosomal RNA". It matches the Rfam family "Eukaryotic small subunit ribosomal RNA", at positions 569 to 766 of the family's 1831-position model. Lineage: Eukaryota; Fungi; Glomeromycota; Glomeromycetes; Glomerales; Glomeraceae. The record is from RNAcentral.
AGCAGCCGCGGUAAUUCCAGCUCCAAUAGCGUAUAUUAAAGUUGUUGCAGUUAAAAAGCUCGUAGUUGAAUUUCGGGAUCAAUAAGUUGGUCGUGCCAAUGGUAUGUACUGGCUUUAUUGGUUCCUACCUCUUGACGAACUGUGAUGCCAUUAAUUUGGUGUUGCAGGAAAUCAGGACUGUUACCUUGAAAAAAU